Molecule: long non-coding RNA, 284 nt
Filed under: Homo sapiens (human)
Lineage: Eukaryota; Metazoa; Chordata; Mammalia; Primates; Hominidae
Description: non-protein coding lnc-SPAG4-2:1
Source: RNAcentral
AUGACAAAGGAAACGUCAUCGUUUGGAAAGCAUCGCGAUAAGACACACACUUUGUGCCGCCACUGUGGCUCUAUGGCCUGCCAACUUCAGAAGUCGACCUGUGGCAAACGUGGCUACCCCGCCAAGCACUAGAGGAAGUAUAACUGGCUAAAAGACAAAAUACCACUGGGACUGAUCGAAUGAGGCACCUAAAAAUUGUAUACUGCAGAUUCAGGCAUGGAUUCUGUGAAGGAACAACACCUAAACCCAAGAGGGUACCUGUUGCAGCAUCCAGUUCAUCUUAA